ACUCCUACGGGGAGGCAGCAGUGGGGAAUAUUGGACAAUGGGGGAACCCGUGAUCCAGCCAUGCCGCGUGUGUGAAGAAGGCCUUAUGGUUGUAAAAGCACUUUAAAGCGAGGAGGAGGCUACUGAGACUAAUACUCUUGGAUAGUGGACGUUACUCGCAGAAUAAGCACCGGCUAACUCUGUGCCAGCAGCCGCGGUAAUACAGAGGGUGUGAGCGUUAAUCGGAUUUACUGGGCGUAAAGCGUGCGUAGGCGGCUUUUAAGUCGGAUGUGAAAUCCCCGAGCUUAACUUGGGAAUUGCAUUCGGAUACUGGGGAAGCUAGAGUAUGGGAGAGGAUGGUAGAAUUCCAGGUGUAGCGGUGAAAUGACGUAGAGAUCGUGGAGGAAUACCG
This 391-nucleotide ribosomal RNA is filed under the name uncultured bacterium. RNAcentral describes it as "bacterial SSU rRNA". It matches the Rfam family "Bacterial small subunit ribosomal RNA", at positions 335 to 711 of the family's 1533-position model. The record is from RNAcentral.